This 515-nucleotide ribosomal RNA is filed under the name uncultured bacterium. Its description in RNAcentral is "partial 16S ribosomal RNA". It matches the Rfam family "Bacterial small subunit ribosomal RNA", at positions 28 to 523 of the family's 1533-position model. The record is from RNAcentral.
GACGAACGCUGGCGGCGUGCCUAAUACAUGCAAGUCGAGCGGACUUUCAAGAAGCUUGCUUUUUGAAAGUUAGCGGCGGACGGGUGAGUAACACGUGGGCAACCUGCCUGUAAGACGGGGAUAACUCCGGGAAACCGGGGCUAAUACCGGAUAAUAUCUUUCUUCGCAUGAAGGAAGGUUGAAAGGCGGCGCAAGCUGCCGCUUGCAGAUGGGCCCGCGGCGCAUUAGCUGGUUGGGGAGGUAACGGCUCACCAAAGCGACGAUGCGUAGCCGACCUGAGAGGGUGAUCGGCCACACUGGGACUGAGACACGGCCCAGACUCCUACGGGAGGCAGCAGUAGGGAAUCUUCCGCAAUGGACGAAAGUCUGACGGAGCAACGCCGCGUGAGCGAAGAAGGUCUUCGGGUCGUAAAGCUCUGUUGUCAGGGAAGAACAAGUACCGUUCGAAUAGGGCGGUACCUUGACGGUACCUGACCAGAAAGCCACGACUAACUACGUGCCAGCCGCCGCAGUAA